AGAGUUGAGGCCAAUGGCGGCUCCACCAUCCUGUGGCUAUGAUUCCUGAACUUGUGGUCUCCUCAGUUGAUGAGGUGAAGAAAGAAAGCCUGGAGAAUUAUGCACGAGCUUCUCACUGUCUCAGCCCACAAGUAACACACCUCUUUCCCUCACAGCCCACACUGGCUGGAACCAAUCACAUAGCCCUGCCUAACUGCAAGGGAGGCCAGAAAGUGCAACACUUUCUCAUGGUCACGGGUGAGCACGAAACAUCUCUCCAAAUAUGGGUUGGGAAGAUUAAGAGACUAGUCCAGAAGAAAACAGUCUCCAGGGAGAAAUAUAUCUGGGAAUAGGAAUCGAGAAAGCAACCAAGAGAGCAGAACUGAGUGGAUGAGAGGAACUGUCAGACCACAUCUGCAGCUCUGAUUAGUCAAAUCCGAAAUGUGCCUGUUGAUCUACUAUUCCGUGGAAAUACUGGAAUCACCAGCUCAAUAAUAAGAGGCGCUGGAUCCAGGGCAAAAAUGAAGACAUAAGGGACCUUAGGUGACAAGGAAGAAGCUCCCAGGCAGCAUGUGGGAUGGACCCAAGGAGAACGUCAGAGAGAAAGAGUUCAGUCUGGUGUCUCCUGAAGCAGGUUAAAAUUAAGCUCGGCAGGCUCGACGUAAAUGUGCAGACAAAGCAAAGCAGGAAGCCUCCCACACUAAAAAGGGAAGAUAAGAAUCACAGAAGCUGGGAUGGUUUUUAUUGAAGGGCAUUUCAAAGCAAAUACAGACAUCUACAGCAUAUUUGUAAAUCCUCCGUAUGUGUAUGGAAACACACACCUUCACACAUCAAAACUGGAUUUGUUCCUGAGUAACAAAACGUCCUAAGAACAAAAUGAAAGAAAACCAAAUAGCAGAAAAAUACUUCCAAUGUAUAUACCACAAAGGAUUAUUUAUCAACUCAACACACCAAGAGUUAAGAAAAUAAUGCAACAGGAACAAAGGGCAAAGGAUAUGUACUGGGAAGACCACAGAGAAAGAAAAUGCAAAUGGCUAAUAAUAUAAAAUAUUUCCUAGGUUCAAUAGUAAUCAGGGAAAGACAAAAUUACACUUUUGACCUCUUAGACUGGCAGUGACAAAGAUUAUUUGAGUGACCAAGCUUUAGUCAGGCUCCUGGAUCUUCUAGGCCCAUCUGGGCACUUCCUCGUAAAAUACAGUUUUAACAAAAGCCCUGCUAAAUUGGUUUACCGAGAACUCCCACCCUCAAUCGAGUUCCUUAGCCCUUCACCUUUCCUCAGGUGAGGGCUGAUCAUCCUGUCCUGUCUUCAGCAAGACUGCUCUAACGCUGACGUUUCCUUUUAGUAAUUUUCCAUCCACUGACACCCACUUGUAAUUUAUAGCCAAGGAGCAAGAUACACUGCUCCUUGGCUAUAAGUUAUUUUCCCUGUUACAUUCAGAGUUGAGCCCAAUCCCACUCCCCGACUACAAAAUCGAUAGCAGUGGUCCCUAUACCUAUUGCAAUGGUCCUAAAUAAAACCUGCCUUACCGUGCUUGAACAAGUGUCAUCGAAUAAUUUUUUAACAGCAAAUUGUUGGAGGUAAAGACAUUUUUAAAUGUCUUCAAUUAGUUUAGCUACUUCCACGUAAUGUUAAAAUCUCCAUCAAUUGGCUAGUUACUGUCCCUUCCUGAGAAGAAGCAGACACCAUAGCCCUGCAUACUGUGGAUUCACUCCUAAGUUGAUAUUGAUAUGAAUGAAAUAGUUAUCUCCC
RNAcentral lists this long non-coding RNA (1729 nucleotides) under Homo sapiens (human). RNAcentral describes it as "non-protein coding PHACTR2-AS1:3". Lineage: Eukaryota; Metazoa; Chordata; Mammalia; Primates; Hominidae. The record is from RNAcentral.